RNAcentral lists this ribosomal RNA (507 nucleotides) under uncultured bacterium. RNAcentral describes it as "bacterial SSU rRNA". It matches the Rfam family "Bacterial small subunit ribosomal RNA", at positions 791 to 1296 of the family's 1533-position model. The record is from RNAcentral.
UAGUCCACGCCGUAAACGAUGUCAACUAGCCGUUGGGAGCAUAUAAGCUCUGAGUGGCGCAGCUAACGCGAUAAGUUGACCGCCUGGGGAGUACGCCGGCAACGGUAAAACUCAAAUGAAUUGACGGGGGCCCGCACAAGCGGUGGAGCAUGUGGUUUAAUUCGAUGCAACGCGAAGAACCUUACCAGGCCUUGACAUCCUGCGAAUCCUUUAGAGAUAGAGGAGUGCCUUCGGGAACGCAGUGACAGGUGCUGCAUGGCUGUCGUCAGCUCGUGUCGUGAGAUGUUGGGUUAAGUCCCGUAACGAGCGCAACCCUUGUCCUUAGUUGCUAGCAGGUAAUGCUGAGAACUCUAAGGAGACUGCCGGUGACAAACCGGAGGAAGGUGGGGACGACGGUCAAGUCAUCAUGGCCCUUACGGCCUGGGCUACACACGUGCUACAAUGGAACGCACAGAGGGCAGCAAACCCGCGAGGGGGAGCGAAUCCCACAAAACGUUCGUAGUCCGG